Molecule: non-coding RNA, 46 nt
Organism: Nematostella vectensis (starlet sea anemone)
Lineage: Eukaryota; Metazoa; Cnidaria; Anthozoa; Actiniaria; Edwardsiidae
Source: Rfam
CAAACGGCUCUUUUAAGAGCCACCACAUGAUCAAAAGUCCAAUAUC